GUAUUUUAAGGAUAUAUGAUCAUUGUUGCGUAUUAUAUGUAUGUUUGUAAGAGAAAAAAUUAAAUUAAAAUAUGUCUAGUGACCGACGACCACAUGUCGGGUAAUUGUUGCAAACUAUAUUACAUUUUAAAAUUUAAUUAGCAAGACAUUCGGAUAUAAAGUUACAAUUAGAUAUGUUUAUCAUUAACAGCAAAAGUUAAAAGUGAAGAUUUAUUUUGGUUAAUUUUUUUUGGGAAAUUCAUCCCUCCAAAAGCAAAAUUCAUUUAGAAGAACCAAAACAGUGAAAUACUAGCGGAAAAACUCUCUCCUUGUCUAUUACUCCAAAUUUACCAAAAUAAAUAAAAAUAACAAAAAAUUAAACAAAAAAAGUAAAAAUAUCAUAUUCCAGUACUCCACUAACUAAGAGAGAGGCAGAAAGCAUUCUACCCACCCAAAAUUUCCCGAAAAAAAAAAAAAAAAAAAAAAAAAACAUUCUACCCAAAACAUCAAAACCCCUAAUUUGUUCUGUCGUUCUUGUUUUUCACUCCAUUCUCUCUCUUUACUCACUCCAUCUCACUUACCAAGCUAGAUCCUCACCAAUUCUGCUUCACCUCAGGAUCAAGUGUUUUCCGUCAUUUAUUGUGGGGAAAUCUAAGCAUGGAUCAUAUUAUUUAUGAUGAACCUGUUUAUUCACCAGACGAAAUAAACUAUGAUUGUACACCAGAGGAAGAAGCCGAUGUUGCUAUUUCACCUGUAGUUACAAUUGAAAGCAAUAAUGUGGAUGUUGACACUAUGCAACAUGUACUUGCUGCUUUAGAUAAGAAACGGAGCUCAGUUUGGCUAGAAUUUCUCACACUUGACAAGGCAAAAUCUAGUGAUGGGAAACAAAGGUCAAUUUGCAAACAUUGCCAUAAAUCUUCCUUCAUUUCCGAUGCCCAUUAUGGAACCCAAAAUAUGCAAAGAUAUCUUAGAAAAUGCAGCGCAUAUGCGAAACAUUUGAAAAACCAAGAAGGAAACAAAGUCAUAUGACGAUAAAGAGGCCUCUUCUACUUUAGCAAAUGAAGAUGAUGGGUUUGUUGGUUCUUAUGUGGAUUGGGCUCCAACCGAAACACGUGCUUGAUGUCAACAAUUUUAGGGUGGAAUAUUGGAGUACAGUAGUUAGAAUAUAAGUUUGGUUGCUAUCUUUGUCAAUUAGAACUUGUAAUAUUGAACAUUUUGUUAUGUAAAGGUUGACGUGGAAAUUAUUGUACCACUUUUAUUUCUACACUUGUGAAAGUUGUGACUAAUUAGCAUUAAUUUGCUAUUGAACUAAUGUUUUGGAGCUUGAUUUUCAA
Molecule: RNA transcript, 1313 nt
Organism: Chenopodium quinoa (quinoa)
Lineage: Eukaryota; Viridiplantae; Streptophyta; Magnoliopsida; Caryophyllales; Amaranthaceae
Exons: 4
Source: RefSeq, a predicted model, not a curated record